CAUUAUCUUCAGGGCGGGGCGCAAUUCCCCACCGGCGGUAUUUUUAUUUUGAAAUAAAAAAGCCCGCGAGCGAUUUGUGAUUUAAUGCACAAAAAGCAGAUCUGGUUUAAUGCCAGAGCCGACGGUAUAGUCCGGAUAGGAGAAGAUAAAA
Molecule: non-coding RNA, 151 nt
Filed under: Gammaproteobacteria bacterium
Lineage: Bacteria; Pseudomonadati; Pseudomonadota; Gammaproteobacteria
Description: FMN sequence
Rfam family: FMN riboswitch aptamer (RFN element)
About the family: The RFN element is a highly conserved domain that is found frequently in the 5'-untranslated regions of prokaryotic mRNAs that encode for flavin mononucleotide (FMN) biosynthesis and transport proteins. This element is a metabolite-dependent riboswitch that directly binds FMN in the absence of proteins.
Source: RNAcentral